This 451-nucleotide ribosomal RNA is filed under the name uncultured bacterium. RNAcentral describes it as "bacterial SSU rRNA". It matches the Rfam family "Bacterial small subunit ribosomal RNA", at positions 28 to 480 of the family's 1533-position model. The record is from RNAcentral.
GAUGAACGCUAGCGGCAGGCCUAACACAUGCAAGUCGAGGGAGAAGCCCUUUCGGGGGCAGAAACCGGCGCACGGGUGCGUAACGCGUAUGCAACCUACCUUUCACAGGGGGAUAGCCCGAAGAAAUUUGGAUUAAUACCCCAUAAUAUUGUUGGAUGGCAUCAUCUGGCAAUUAAAGCUACGACGGUGGAAGAUGGGCAUGCGUCCUAUUAGCUAGUUGGAGUGGUAACGGCACCCCAAGGCUACGAUAGGUAGGGGUCCUGAGAGGGAGAUCCCCCACACUGGUACUGAGACAGGGACCAGACUCCUACGGGAGGCAGCAGUGAGGAAUAUUGGUCAAUGGUCGGAAGACUGAACCAGCCAUGCCGCGUGCAGGAAGAAUGCCUUAUGGGUUGUAAACUGCUUUUAUAUGGGAAGAAUAAGGUGUACGAGUACAUUGANGACGGUNCCA